This 1336-nucleotide ribosomal RNA is filed under the name Bradysia sp. XQM-2020. RNAcentral describes it as "16S ribosomal RNA". The record is from RNAcentral. Lineage: Eukaryota; Metazoa; Arthropoda; Insecta; Diptera; Sciaridae.
GUUUGGCACAUAUUUAUUGACAAUAUUAGGGUUUUUAUUUAAUUUAUUAAAAAUAAUUUAAAUUUAAAAUUAGUUAAAGUAUAUUAUAUAAAAAUAAUAAUUUUAUUUAUAGUUAAUUAGUACAGAGAUGGGAGAUUGAAAUAGUUGAAAAUUUAUUUAAGUAAAAGAAAAUUUAAUUUAUUGUACCUUGUGUAUCAGGGUUUAUUAAAUAAAAAAUGAUAUUCUAUUUUUCUCGAAUUUAAGAUAUUUAUAAAUUUAUAAAAUUUAUUGUAGUAAAAAUAUUAUUCAUAGAUUUAUAGAAAUGAAAUGUUAAUCGUUCUUAAAUAUAUCUAGUUUUUUAAGAAAUGAAUUAAAUUUAUAUAUUUAUUAAUUAAAUUAACUUCUUUGAAAGUUAAUUUAAGUUUUAAUAUAAAUUUUUAAAGGGAUAAGCUUUUAAGAAUAAAGAUAAUAACUUGAAUUUAAAUUUAAUAAAUAUAAGCUUAGAAUUAGUUAUUAUUUAAAAUUAUGUAAUAAUUUAUUUAUUAUUCUAAUGAUAAUUUACUUUAGUUUUAUUUUUUAUUAAAAUUUUAAUUUUAAUUUAAAAAAUUAAUUAAUAAUGAUGAAAUUAGUAUAAUAAUGUUUAACGAUAAUUUAUAUAAUAUAAAUUUUAUUUAAGAAUUCGGCAAAUUUAAUUUUCACCUGUUUAACAAAAACAUGUCUUUUUGAGUUUUAUAUAAAGUCUAACCUGCCCAUUGAAAAUAUUUUAAAAGGCUGCGGUAUUUUGACCGUACAAAGGUAGCAUAGUCAUUAGUUUCUUAAUUGGGAACUCGUAUGAAUGGUUGAAUGAAAAAUUAACUUUUUUUUUAAAAAUAUUGAAUUUUACUUUUUAAUUAAAAGGUUAAAAUUUAUUUAAAAGACGAGAAGACCCUAUAGAGUUUAAUAAUUGGGGUUUUAUUAUUAAAAAAGAUUAUUUAUAUUAUUAUAAUUUUAAUUAUUUUAUUGGGGUGAUAGUAAAAUUUAAUUAACUUUUAUUAAUUAACUACAUUAAUAUAUGAAAAAUUGAUCCAGUAUUAUUGAUUAAAAAUUUAAAUUACCUUAGGGAUAACAGCGUAAUUUUUUUUUAAGCUCAUAUUAAUAAAAAAUUUUGCGACCUCGAUGUUGGAUUAAGAUUUAAUUUUAGGUGCAGUAGUUUAAAGUUUAAGUCUGUUCGACUUUUAAAUUCUUACAUGAUCUGAGUUCAAACCGGCGUAAGCCAGGUUGGUUUCUAUCUUUAAAAAAUUUUAUAUAUUUUAGUACGAAAGGAUUAGAUAUUUUAUAUAAUAUAAAUUUAAUUGAAUAAGAUUAAUUUUAUCAUUAA